GUCCCUGCCCUUUGUACACACCGCCCGUCGCUACUACCGAUUGAACGUUUUAGUGAGGUAUUUGGACUGGGCCUUGGGAGGAUUCGUCCUCCCAUGUUGCUCGGGAAGACUCCCAAACUUGAGCGUUUAGAGGAAGUAAAAGUCGUAACAAGUUUUCCGUAGGUGAACCUGCGGAAGGAUCAUUA
Molecule: ribosomal RNA, 185 nt
Filed under: Oithona similis
Lineage: Eukaryota; Metazoa; Arthropoda; Copepoda; Cyclopoida; Oithonidae
Description: partial 18S ribosomal RNA
Rfam family: Eukaryotic small subunit ribosomal RNA
Source: RNAcentral